Molecule: ribosomal RNA, 230 nt
Filed under: uncultured bacterium
Lineage: Bacteria
Description: partial 16S ribosomal RNA
Rfam family: Bacterial small subunit ribosomal RNA
Source: RNAcentral
UACGUAGGGUCCGAGCGUUGUCCGGAAUUACUGGGCGUAAAGAGCUCGUAGGUGGUUUGUCGCGUUGUUCGUGAAAACUCACAGCUCAACUGUGGGCGUGCGGGCGAUACGGGCAGACUAGAGUACUGCAGGGGAGACUGGAAUUCCUGGUGUAGCGGUGGAAUGCGCAGAUAUCAGGAGGAACACCGGUGGCGAAGGCGGGUCUCUGGGCAGUAAACUGACGCUGGAGG